GACGAACGCUGGCGGCGUGCCUAAUACAUGCAAGUCGAACGCAUUUUUUCUCACCGUAGCUUGCUACACCGAAAGAAAAUGUGUGGAGCUAGGGCGAGUUACGCGUUGGUAACCUGCCCAUCAGCGGGGUAUAAUACUUGUACACAGGGGCUAAUACUGCACACUUAGAUUUACCGCCUGGUAGAGUUGGCAAAGUGGCUUUUGCGUCACCUAUCGAUGCACCGGUGGUGCGUUAGCUAGUUGGUGGGGUAACGGCCUAUCAAGGCUGCGAUGCAUAGCCGACCUGAGAGGGUGAUCGGCCACACUGGGACUGAGACACGGCCCAGAAUCCUACGGGAGGCAGCAGUAGGGAAUCUUUGGCAAUGGACGCAAGUCUGACCGAGCAACGCCGCGUGAGUGAAGAAGGUUUUCGGAUUGUAAAACUCUGUUGUUAGAGAAGAACAAGGAUGAGAGUGGAAAGUUCAUCCCUUGACGGUAUCUAACCAGAAAGCCACGGCUAACUACGUG
Molecule: ribosomal RNA, 507 nt
Filed under: uncultured bacterium
Lineage: Bacteria
Description: partial 16S ribosomal RNA
Rfam family: Bacterial small subunit ribosomal RNA
Source: RNAcentral